UACGUAGGGACCAAGCGUUGUUCGGAUUUACUGGGCGUAAAGGGCGCGUAGGCGGCGUGACAAGUCACUUGUGAAAUCUCUGGGCUUAACCCAGAACGGCCAAGUGAAACUGUUGUGCUAGAGUGCAGAAGGGGCAAUCGGAAUUCUCGGUGUAGCGGUGAAAUGCGUAGAUAUCGAGAGGAACACCAGAGGUGAAGACGGGUUGCUGGGCUGACACUGACGCUGAGGCGCGAAGGCGUGGGGAGCGAACGGG
Molecule: ribosomal RNA, 253 nt
Filed under: uncultured bacterium
Lineage: Bacteria
Description: partial 16S ribosomal RNA
Rfam family: Bacterial small subunit ribosomal RNA
Source: RNAcentral